This 497-nucleotide ribosomal RNA is filed under the name uncultured bacterium. Its description in RNAcentral is "partial 16S ribosomal RNA". It matches the Rfam family "Bacterial small subunit ribosomal RNA", at positions 28 to 507 of the family's 1533-position model. The record is from RNAcentral.
GAUGAACGCUGGCGGCGUGCCUAAUACAUGCAAGUCGAGCGAACAGACGAGGAGCUUGCUCCUCUGACGUUAGCGGCGGACGGGUGAGUAACACGUGGAUAACCUACCUAUAAGACUGGGAUAACUUCGGGAAACCGGAGCUAAUACCGGAUAACAUGUUGAACCGCAUGGUUCAACAGUGAAAGACGGUCUUGCUGUCACUUAUAGAUGGAUCCGCGCCGCAUUAGCUAGUUGGUAAGGUAACGGCUUACCAAGGCAACGAUGCGUAGCCGACCUGAGAGGGUGAUCGGCCACACUGGAACUGAGACACGGUCCAGACUCCUACGGGAGGCAGCAGUAGGGAAUCUUCCGCAAUGGGCGAAAGCCUGACGGAGCAACGCCGCGUGAGUGAAGAAGGUCUUCGGAUCGUAAAACUCUGUUAUUAGGGAAGAACAAAUGUGUAAGUAACUAUGCACGUCUUGACGGUACCUAAUCAGAAAGCCUCGGCUAACUACGUG